Molecule: non-coding RNA, 2945 nt
Organism: Labrus bergylta (ballan wrasse)
Lineage: Eukaryota; Metazoa; Chordata; Actinopteri; Labriformes; Labridae
Source: RefSeq, a predicted model, not a curated record
AAGCUGUGAAAAUCUGCAGUUAAAUCAGUUAAUCUGACUGGAAUCACUGCUGGCUAUGGAUUCAUUUCUGGGGGUGAUGUAAUCAAAAGUCUCUGUGCCAAAUAUAACAUGGGUGAAUUCUGAAAUGUGAGUUUGCACUGUUGGCAGAGAUCAAGCUGUCUUGACAGCACUAACCUUUGAGGGAGCUGGAGAAAUGGACGCUGUAACUUUUACUUAUCUAUUUUUAUCUUUUUUUGCAUUAUGGACUAUCCCCUGUUUCUCCUCGGUCGAAGUAAACACUGCUCCUCAAAGAGGAAACGUUUGCAGACAUUUAUGACAAAAGACAACUCAGACCUGCUGCCGUGCGCCCUGCAGACGAGAGCCUGACCCCCACGUCAAGAACUUCCUGUCCGACUUAAUGGAUCAUCUUACGUUUCAGAGCACCGACGCUGGAAAAGAAACAACAGAGGGAGGAAAGGCUUGGCAGGGAAGGGGGGGUGGGGUGUUAAGUUAGACAUGAGAGACAUGAAGGACAACAUUUUAGCUUGUAGGCCGCGGGAAGUGACAACAAACACGGGCCUCAAGUGAAACAGGAUCCAUUGCAGAAGGAAGAUGGAGCUGCUGCUCUUAGUCUGUUUCUCUCUGUGAAGGUUUGUUUGUCAGGGAUCAACCAGGAAGCAUGAAAGCUUCAUCUCUACAGAAAAAUGCAUUAGCUGGUUAAUGAACGGCAGGCCAAAAAAUAAGCUCAAAGCUUUUGUUUUUCUGUCCUCACUGAGCAAAUGUACGGCACUUAAAAUCAUAAAACUACAACUAAGGGAGAUCUGAAAAAAGUUAUGAUAAACUUUGUGUUAACAGAGUGACUCUUUUGUAAUAGCUCUCAUCUGGAGAAUAUAAUCCUUGUUUAGACUGAUUAUAUUUUUAAAGGACAUCUGAGUGGAUUAAACAUUUUGUUCCCACCCCCAUAAUACAUACACAUUAACAUUUCAUUGUCGACUCCCUUGAAGAUCAUCCAGGUUUUUCAAAUCUUGCAAUAUAAAAGUUCAAGGAAAGUAUUGUUUGGAUUUUUUGGUUUGAGAAAUUAAGAAAAAUGUACUUUUUAUAAAAACUGCUGCAGAUUAUGUUUUGGUUAAUUAAUAAUUUCAAUCACAUUUUUUUUGUUUUUUUGUGUGCAAAGAGAAAUGUUUCCACGUGUGUGGUAGGACUGCACAGUGUGUCCAAUGAUGUUUUAUACAUUGUUUAAAUGUUUUCUUACAUGUCAUGUAAACAAAGCUUUGCUGUACUGUGAAAUGAGUGUCCAGAUAACUAAGCUUUAUGUUGAUGAGCAUACAUUUUUUUUUCUUUUCAUUAGGUAUUUUCUCAGAUGUGAGCCGAGACAAAAUUGAGACUUCUUGUAAUUAAGUGUGAGCAUCACCAUCAUUCUUAUUAAUACUAGCAUUGUCAUUUCUGUGCUCUUUAUAGAGUUUUUAGACAAUGCAAAAACUCUGUACUCUGUCGAAGAGUAAUCUUCUAGUUACCACAGGAUUUCAUCCAAAAGGCUUUGUGUCUUUAGAGGCAGAAUAAAAAUAUAUACGAAGGCUUCGCAAGGCAGAUAUGAUUUUCAGAUUUCACCCAAAGGAUUCACAAUUUCAAAAUUAAAUCAUCCUCAAUGAUUUCGACUUCAGUCUGUUUGAAUAAAACUUUGUCAAAAUAAAGAGUCAAUCUGUACAUCAGUCUCUGGUGAGAUGUCGUCUCAUGGAGUCAAUAGAGAAGAAAAAUAAAACAAGCAGACAAGUUGAAUUUCUCUGAGCGCUUCGAGAGCCAGCACCAAGAGAAGACCCUGCUUCUGCGAGGUAGCUGCCUUAGCGAAAUUUAUUUACAAUUCACAAAAUACAGGUCUCAUUCUCAGUGUUCAAGCAUUUCACAUUAGUGCCGUCAUCUGACAAACCACCACUCCCUCUAAAGUCUCUAUUGCUCGCAGUCUUUGGUUUCCCAAUCAGAAAACUUGGCUUCACGAGGAACACUUCUAGAUUCAUUUUUUAUACACCAUCUCAUUAUUUCCUCACACACAUACACACCGUCUGUCUGAAUAUAAUAUUAUUCUUGUUUUCCUUUGCCGUCACUUUCCUCAUGAGGAUUUAUGCACUUUCUAUAAAAUGCUGAAUUUAAAACUCAGCCUUACAAGAACUUCUGAAGUUUUGUAUAUCUUAAGGUUACAGGUUCGCUCAAAAUUCAGCUGGUUAUACAGUUUGGGCUUCUCUAUAUUUUUCCAUAUUUAUAGAUAUAGUUUUCAUAUACAUUUCUUAUGUACACUCUUCUAUGGCUUGCAAACACAAUAUAACUUCUCUAUGUGAGGCUCUCACAUGUGCGUUGAAUGUAUGGGCGGCUUACUGAAGGCAUGUGUUGAAGAGAUUCUGUUCUCUGUACUUGUUGUCUGAAGGAUUUUUGUCCAAACAAAGAAAAAUCAGUUUGAAUUUUAAGUGCUAGGAUGCUGUGCAGUUUUAAAACAGAAAAUAAAACUAAAUAAGACUUUAUGUAGAGAUUACUGUUUCACUGCAUCUGUGAUAAAAGAUUUUGCUUCUGAAACUGAACUUAUACAGGAGGAUUUGCUUCUUGUCUUGCAGCGCAGACAGUUUCAGAUGCAGUCUCUUUCGUGGCAUAUUCUUUUUAAUGUGUACCUUUUAUCAGAACAAAAAUCUAUUUUACAAUCUAAGCAAUCAAAUCUGUAAAGAUAAGAAACUCUGACGGCUCUGACCAGAAAUCUGUAGCAUCAUUCAGGUAUGUCUCAGUUCUGAAAAAUCCUCAUCACGCUUGAGUACAUGACACUCAUUCAUACUGUCCUUGGAACAAAUCUUACUGUUGUCUGGGGCCAAUCAUGACAAAAGUCAGAUAAUUGAAACAAACUAUAAUAUGAUGUCAUUUCCCUUUGAAGGACAGUACAAAGAAGAUGGCUAAGUUACACUAGAGACACACUGUCUACCUCCACCUGU